CUGGCGGCAGGCCUAAUACAUGCAAGUCGAGCGCACCUUCGGGUGAGCGGCGGACGGGUUAGUAACGCGUGGGAACGUACCCUUUUCUACGGAAUAGCCUUUGGAAACGAAGAGUAAUACCGUAUACGCCCUUUGGGGGAAAGAUUUAUCGGAGAAGGAUCGGCCCGCGUUAGAUUAGAUAGUUGGUGGGGUAACGGCCUACCAAGUCUACGAUCUGUAGCUGGUUUUAGAGGAUGAUCAGCAACACUGGGACUGAGACACGGCCCAGACUCCUACGGGAGGCAGCAGUGGGGAAUCUUAGACAAUGGGCGCAAGCCUGAUCUAGCCAUGCCGCGUGAGUGAUGAAGGCCUUAGGGUCGUAAAGCUCUUUCGCCUGUGAUGAUAAUGACAGUAGCAGGUAAAGAAACCCCGGCUAACUCCGUGCCAGCAGCCGCGGUAAUACGGAGGGGGUUAGCGUUGUUCGGAAUUACUGGGCGUAAAGCGCACGUAGGCGGAUUGGAAAGUUGGGGGUGAAAUCCCGGGGCUCAACCCCGGAACUGCCUCCAAAACUAUCAGUCUAGAGUUCGAGAGAGGUGAGUGGAAUUCCAAGUAUAGAGGUGAAAUUCGUAGAUAUUUGGAGGAACACCAGUGGCGAAAGCGGCUCACUGGCUCGAUACUGACGCUGAGGUGCGAAAGUGUGGGGAGCAAACAGGAUUAGAUACCCUGGUAGUCCACACCGUAAACGAUGAAUGCCAGUCGUCGGGCAGUAUACUGUUCGGUGACACACCUAACGGAUUAAGCAUUCCGCCUGGGGAGUACGGUCGCAGAUUAAAAACUCAAAGGAAUUGACGGGGGCCCGCACAAGCGGUGGAGCAUGUGGUUUAUUCGAAGC
Molecule: ribosomal RNA, 871 nt
Filed under: uncultured marine bacterium
Lineage: Bacteria
Description: bacterial SSU rRNA
Rfam family: Bacterial small subunit ribosomal RNA
Source: RNAcentral